RNAcentral lists this ribosomal RNA (163 nucleotides) under uncultured bacterium. RNAcentral describes it as "partial 16S ribosomal RNA". It matches the Rfam family "Bacterial small subunit ribosomal RNA", at positions 355 to 511 of the family's 1533-position model. The record is from RNAcentral.
UAGGGAAUCUUCCACAAUGGACGAAAGUCUGAUGGAGCAACGCCGCGUGAGUGAAGAAGGGUUUCGGCUCGUAAAACUCUGUUGUUAAGAAGAACAUAUCUGAGAGUAACUGUUCAGGUAUUGACGGUAUUUAACCAGAAAGCCACGGCUAACUACGUGCCAG